Molecule: long non-coding RNA, 1741 nt
Filed under: Serinus canaria (Common canary)
Lineage: Eukaryota; Metazoa; Chordata; Aves; Passeriformes; Fringillidae
Description: lncRNA (ENSSCAG00000005712.1)
Source: RNAcentral
AUGUCAGGUGCCCGUCCCUCCUCAAGAGCUCUCAGUUCACACUUUCUCCCUGUCCCCUGGGCUGUUCUGCUUGCACAGAGCCCGGCACUCCCAGGGAAAGCCCCAGGAUGCUGCGUGGCAACUGCCCCCACAGGAGCACCCUUAUUCCUCUCAUGGAAACUUCCUCUCCUCAUGGCCUGGUGGCAGGAGGAUGGGCUUCCCCACAGCCUGUCCAUGGCUGCUUCCCCAUGGCUGCAUCCCCACAGCCUCUCCAGGGCUGCCUCAUCCUCCCUCCCCUGCCACUGGCCCCGUGUCCCCUGUCCUGCCAGCCCUGUCCCGACCCACCUGCGUGCCAGCUCCUGCCUUGAGCAGCCAGUCCACUUUGUGCAGGGUCCAUCCCUUGCUGUCGGGGUCCAGGAAGAGGCACUGCAGCAGCACGGAGUCGCCAGCCCUAGCUCGGAGCUGAGGCUCCGUGAACGCCUCGGCAGCCCCCGUGCAUGGCCCUGCCGGGGACAAGGACAGCAGCAUGAGCCCAGAGAGGAGGGCCAGCUGCAGCCUGCCCGUCCCCAUCGCUGUCUCCUCCGCAGGGAAGCCUGGGGCUCACGGCCCUGAGCAGCCCAGAGGCCCAGCCCGUGCCUGAGCCCUGCUCCCGGGAUGUGGGGCAGCGCAUCCUCCCGCCGCCACACCAGGGCUGCUGCCGGUGAUGCAGCCGAAGGGGAGCUGGGAGCACAGCCCCUGCCCUCCUCGCCUCGGAGCCACAGCCUGCAGCUCCUGCAGGGCUGUGCCUGUGACUCACUGCCUGGGAGAACCUGUGCUGCUCUCAUCUCUACCAGGCCAGGGGCGAUUCCAGCGCUUCACACGAAUUUCAGUUCCUCCCUCACUGCCCAUUUGGCUUCCUUCCCCUUUGCUCACAGGCUCCAGACCUGGGCUUGUGCUUGUCUGGCCACGUAACCACAGCUUGGGGUUUCUAGAGCAGCUGGACAGUGGGAAAAAAGCAGAGCAGGGGAACAUCAAAGAGCACAGAGCUGACAGCCCGCACGAGGCAGCUGCGGCUGCAGAGCAGCGGCAGGAAGGGGAUUAAAGGUCUCCUCUGAACUAAAAGGUUCUGUGAAACGAGUGGGGCAGAAAAUGUCACUGGAGCUCGCCAACCCCACCUGCCCCAGCCUGCAGUGGCCCUGCAAGGGGAGGCUGAGGCUCUGCUGCUGUUUGCUGAGAGCUGAUUCAGCUCAGGGGAGCUGCUCAGACAGGUAGGCUCGUCCUCGUGGCUGAGCCACUGCACCCAGCCUGUCCACAACCACCGAGGGCUGGGCCCUGGCCAAGCCCCAAGUGUUUGUCUGAAAGCCUGUAAAUAAUGAAUGCAAAGUGCUGCAGCUCCCAAACAAGUUCUGUUGGUCUUGACCAGCUGAGGAGCUGAAAAUGACAAAUAUUUGCCAGCGGAGAAGACCAAGGGAGCUGCCUGCCUCAAGCAGAGCCAAAAUCAAUACCUUGGAAACCUCCCCCUGUAUUUAGAGUUGGUGAAGCAGUUCUGCUUCUUUCAAAGCCUUGGAGCCUUGGUAGAGGGCAGAUCCGGGGAUGGCAGUGCAGUUUGCAGGCUGUUUACAGGGGAGGUCGGCAGGACGGGGAGAUGCAAGGCCAGAGAGGGACUGGCACCCAGGAGAGGAGCAGCUCCAUGGGGCUCUCACCGCAGGAAGAGAGACACUAAUGGGUCUGAGAGCAAAGGCAGAGGGGAAAGCAGAGGGGAAUAAAACUUAGAGCUUACCCA